Papaver somniferum (opium poppy) is the source of this 684-nucleotide long non-coding RNA. RefSeq lists it as uncharacterized. The transcript has 3 exons. Lineage: Eukaryota; Viridiplantae; Streptophyta; Magnoliopsida; Ranunculales; Papaveraceae. The record is from RefSeq and is a predicted model, not a curated record.
GUUGAGGCGUUGAUUUGCACGCAAAGCUGGUUACAGACACCGGUUGAUCUUGAUCCAAACACCUUAGGAACUGAUGAUGCUGAAGAUGUUUCAGAAUUUUUAGGUUCUCUUGCAACUUCUAAGUUCAUCCGCAUUGACAUAGAUGAUGAUGAAGAAGAAGAAGAUUCAACUUUGUUAUCGUGAAGUUGAUUAUAAAUGAUUUAACGGGUUAGCGGUUACCAUUACAACCUCCUGUGGAAUACCCAAUUUCUACACAUGCAAAGUGUAUUCACUGUAACAAACUAUUUCCUGUCGACCCUUUUAGGAAUGAACUUAUGAUGUGUAGUCAGUUAUGAACUUAUGAUUAUGAUUUUUUGAUGUUUUUUCAUUUUUGUUAUUAAGGAGAAACUAGACUCUUUAAAAUUUAAUGUUUCUAUCAAUAUGUAUUGGAAGUUGGAACAUUUGAUGUAUUUGAAACUUGAGUGACAGGUUCAGAAAAAUUUGCCUGUCAUUUUUGUGAGACUGACAGAUAUAAAAAAUUUCAGUGGUUAACCAAAAACCGAAUGGUUUUAUACAAAACCGAGUUGGAACCGAACCGAGAAAAACCGAACUACCCAAAUGGUUUCAUUGGUUUUCAUUAUUGGAAACCGAGUAGUUCGGUUUCGGUUUAAUUUUUUCAAAAAACCGAUGAAAACCGAACCAUGU